AGCGAUGACGCCAUUUGGGGUGCCAAAUUCACGUGUUUCAGGGCAGUGAAAAUUCGCUAAAAUCGCACCAAAUCGCUCGCAAAGCUCACUUUUCUCGAUUUUCAUCUCCGUUCGGAACGUUGUCAGCAUUGGGUUUUUGAGUGGCCCACACACACGCGAAGAAAGAACGAAAAGUCAAAAAAGAGACGGAAGAACGGCGAAAGAAACGCGAAGUGGAUGCGGGUUCGGCUUUUUGUGCCGACAUCGUUUUGUUGCCGACAAGCAUCGGUGAAAUAUUUCAACCGAGAGUUUGAACUGUCAGUUGAGCGUUUUGUUUUGUUUUCGACCAAAGCAAUCCGUUAUUGAAAAGAAAAUUUUCGGUUCAAAAAGUUAAAAAGUUCUCACGUGGUUUGCUUGUUCAAAAGUAAAAUUUUCAAGUGAAUAUGUUUGCAAUACAUACCAAAGAUACUAGCAACGAACAAUUUGAUCAGAAAAGGAAGUUAUUGUUGUGAAUCUCAACGUGUCCAACAUUUUCAGAUUCACCGCUUGCAAAUCAAAGGGAGGGGGGUAUGAAAAAAAGAUGACAGCCACCGCCGUAUCGUGUCACGUCGUGAUGCAUCCCGUCUCGAGAAAUGAUGCGAGGUAGUGUAGCAUGCAGUAGUGACAAGCAAAUUGCAUUAUUUUUACAGGGUGUCACCGAUGUGGACCGUCUUGGCGUAGUGUUCUGGUAAGGAGAUUUUUUACAUUAAAAAAAAUAUGUUUUAUUGUUGUUGAGAUGUCAAACAUUUUUGAACGAUAUUAGGACCUCAAUUUUUUGUGGCACCUUCUACAACGUUGUACAGAUCCGUAAUGCUAUGCUAUGCUAUGCUAGAUUAGGAUCAGGUGAGGCUGUGUUUGAAUGCAGAAGUUUUGAGCGACAAAAUAUCCUUAUUUUUUCAAAAAAACACAAAAAAUCUAUAACGAAUUUCAACCAACUUUUUAAAACGAAUCAGAAUUCAAUAAGCAAAAGUUAAGAAAAUUGACCCAAGUCGCCACACCGGCGACUAUUGGCCGCAGUUGGAGCAGAAGCAAGAAAAAAAAAUCAUGUCACUCCGUAUUCAAAACCCCGGGGUCACUCGAGCAGAGAUCGUCUGUGAAUGUUAAUGCUGUAAGUUUCUCGCGGGGAGGAAAAAACGGGGGGAUUUGGUGCAAUUUUCCCAUGAUUUUUUUUUUGUUAUUUUCUCUCGCUGUUUUUUUUUGUCCGCUAGAGCAGGCAGAGUGCCUUCAUCGAACCGUGGGGUUUUCUGCUCCCAGGGGUGUGCUCUAAAAGCAAAGUUCUCUUCUUUUUUUUCGUGUCGUCUACAAGGUCUGAAAGGAUCGAUUUUUGGUGGGAUUAUCCUACUCGACGUUUCUGUGGGUUUUCCGAGGUAUGAUUUAUCACUCUCGAAGACUAGCUCGGGAUUGGGUGCGGAAAAUGGAGUGUGAGUAAUUUUACGAUAAUCCUUGUUUGCAGUUUAGUAAAAGCAAAAAUAUUAUCAAUUUUUCAAUCUGAUGUUGGAACUUUUGAAACUUUUUCAUUGAAUAGUUGCGUUGAGAAUAAAACAAAAAACUAAAAUUAUUGAUCAAGUUUCAAAGAGAACUUGAACGCAAAUAAAAAAAUAAAACAUUGUUAAGAUUGUUCUUGACAUGACA
Molecule: long non-coding RNA, 1650 nt
Organism: Culex pipiens pallens (northern house mosquito)
Lineage: Eukaryota; Metazoa; Arthropoda; Insecta; Diptera; Culicidae
Exons: 3
Source: RefSeq, a predicted model, not a curated record